This 1129-nucleotide ribosomal RNA is filed under the name gut metagenome. Its description in RNAcentral is "bacterial SSU rRNA". It matches the Rfam family "Bacterial small subunit ribosomal RNA", at positions 380 to 1520 of the family's 1533-position model. The record is from RNAcentral.
AGUCUGAACCAGCCAAGUCGCGUGAGGGAAGACUGCCCUAUGGGUUGUAAACCUCUUUUAUAAGGGAAGAAUAAGUUCUACGUGUAGAAUGAUGCCUGUACCUUAUGAAUAAGCAUCGGCUAACUCCGUGCCAGCAGCCGCGGUAAUACGGAGGAUGCGAGCGUUAUCCGGAUUUAUUGGGUUUAAAGGGUGCGUAGGCGGUUUAUUAAGUUAGUGGUUAAAUAUUUGAGCUAAACUCAAUUGUGCCAUUAAUACUGGUAAACUGGAGUACAGACGAGGUAGGCGGAAUAAGUUAAGUAGCGGUGAAAUGCAUAGAUAUAACUUAGAACUCCGAUAGCGAAGGCAGCUUACCAGACUGUAACUGACGCUGAUGCACGAGAGCGUGGGUAGCGAACAGGAUUAGAUACCCUGGUAGUCCACGCCGUAAACGAUGCUCACUGGUUCUGUGCGAUAUAUUGUACGGGAUUAAGCGAAAGUAUUAAGUGAGCCACCUGGGGAGUACGUCGGCAACGAUGAAACUCAAAGGAAUUGACGGGGGCCCGCACAAGCGGAGGAACAUGUGGUUUAAUUCGAUGAUACGCGAGGAACCUUACCUGGGUUUAAAUGGGAAAUGCCGUAUUUGGAAACAGAUAUUCUCUUCGGAGCGUUUUUCAAGGUGCUGCAUGGUUGUCGUCAGCUCGUGCCGUGAGGUGUCGGGUUAAGUCCCAUAACGAGCGCAACCCUUACCGUUAGUUGCUAGCAUGUAAUGAUGAGCACUCUAACGGGACUGCCACCGUAAGGUGAGAGGAAGGCGGGGAUGACGUCAAAUCAGCACGGCCCUUACACCCAGGGCUACACACGUGUUACAAUGGCCGGUACAGAGGGCCGCUACCAGGUGACUGGAUGCCAAUCUCAAAAGCCGGUCGUAGUUCGGAUUGGAGUCUGUAACCCGACUCCAUGAAGUUGGAUUCGCUAGUAAUCGCGCAUCAGCCAUGGCGCGGUGAAUACGUUCCCGGGCCUUGUACACACCGCCCGUCAAGCCAUGGAAGCCGGGGGUGCCUGAAGUCCGUAACCGCGAGGAUCGGCCUAGGGCAAAACUGGUAACUGGGGCUAAGUCGUAACAAGGUAGCCGUACCGGAAGGUGCGGCUG